AAUAACUAGAAGUGAAAAUUCAAAAAUACCUUUUCUAUGGUUAUAAUUAAAAGAAUAAUGUAAAAAUGCCAAUAUACUGUUCAAUAUUACUGCUCAAGAGGAAAAGCCUUAUAUAGCAAAAAUAAACUUGACCAUUGUUGAAAUCACCCGAUUCAAUUGUGGGUUGAAAACCACUAUAUACUCGCAUGGUCAAAAUGAUCCCUGAUUUAGUAACUAGUUCCAUAACAUUUUUCUGAGUGUGGUAUUAGAGCGUCUGGCGAAGCGAGAAAAAUCUGGCAACCUGGCAACGCUGCUUGCCGAUGUCAAAAUUUUACCUGGAGUGACAGAAACAAAAACUGUAAACAACACGUAUAUUUUGUAUUGAUUGUUCAAAAAACGACGAAGAACGAUCACGAUCCAUCUUGCUCUAGAGCAACACGGCUUUGGUAGCUGCAGCUACAGUUCCCACAGAAAAAUGAAAUCCGACCAGAUACAGGAUGUGAUGCCAAACGAGGAGAACCAAUCCAGCAGCUAUAUCACCGUAACGAAUGAUCUUCCAAAACAACACAAAUGUCAGAUUUGCGAUAAAACAUUCGCCAAGAAGAGUGCUCUCUACUCUCACUUCUUAUUGCAUGACAACAAGCGGCCAUUCAGCUGUGAUAUUUGUGGGAAAAGCUUUGCUUUGACGAGUCACCUAAGGAGGCAUAUGACCGCACAUACGAAGAACAACACGCUCACGUGUGAUGUAUGUGGCAGAGAAUUUUGUGACAAUACAUCAUUGAAUUUCCACAAAAAUAUUCAUACUGGUGAGCGACCGUACAAAUGCACUGUAUGCGAAAAAGGUUUCUACGCUAAAACGAAUUUUACCCAACACAUGCGUUCUCAUGCAGGCGAGUCUUUCGAAUGCGCUGUAUGUGGGAAAAGUUUUGUCACUAAUGUUAAACUAACCAAACACAUGGUUACACACACGGGCGAUUUUCAUUUCAAAUGUGAUGUGUGCGGAAGAGGGUUCAGCAGCACAACGCGUUUAAGAGAUCACAAAAACAUGCAUACGGGAGAUCGACCUUAUCAAUGCGCUAUAUGCGGAAAAAAAUUUGCCAAUAAAGAUAGCAUCAAACAACAUACAUCACUUCACACGGGUAUUCGGUAUAGGUGUGAAGUGUGUGGCAAAGAAUACUCUCUAAAGUCUAGAUUGACAUGGCACGAACGCGUUCAUAAGACUGAGCAUUCAAUUGAUUCCCUGUUGAUCGAAUCAACAGACCACGAAGGCGUUAUUCAAACCAAACAGGAAAAUGCAACAAACGAAUCAACAAAUCUCAACGGUAUGAUAAAUGAACAUUCACCAUCAAAUAGCAACUGCAAUGCGCUUGAUUUAGAGCAAAAACCGUUCAAGUCUGGUAGCAAUAAAAUCAAUACAUCUGAAAUUAAAUUCGACCAGGUACGGGGUGUUAUUCAAACGAAAGAGGACGAUUCUCCAAAUCAGCACAAAUGCUUGAUUUGUAAACAACAUUUCGCCGACAAGAGCGAUCUUCUGAAGCACCUUCCAUCUUGCAACAUACGCGAAAGAAAAAGAAACUUUCCGAAGCAGAGUUAUCGUCCGCACAAAUGCACUAUAUGUCGCAAAAAAUUUGCUACAAAGGUUGAACUGGACAAACACAUGUCAGUACACAAGGGUGAUUAUACGUAUAAGUGUGAUGUGUGUGGCAAAGGAUUCAAGCAAAAAUCACGUUUCAUAGACCACAAAAACAUUCAUACAGGAGAGCGGCCUUAUCAAUGCGGUGUAUGCGGAAAAGACUACGCCACCAAACGUGUCCUAAACAUUCACAUAACACUUCACGCAGGUGAUCGGCAUCAAUGUGAAGAGUGCGGCAAAGAAUACGCUAAUAAAUUCGUCUUGAAAUUGCACAAACGCGUUCAUACAACUACGAGUUAGUUAGUUAUAAUUGUUUUUUAACACCGGUUUUUAACCUUCAUGGUCUAUUUCCGAUGCAAUGAGGACAUCAUCUAAAUAGCAGUUUACACCUUCUAGUCCGUGUAACACCUUGUCCAUAAUUUGCUGAAAAAUUGCCGCAGAGCUUGAUGCCCCUUGCGGAAGUCGAUUGUAGAUGAAUAACCCUUUUACUGUGUUGAUAACCGUGUACUUUUUGGAGCGCUCAGAUAAAGGAACUUGUGUAUAUGCUCCUGCUAGGUCCAGGCAACAAAAUAUUUUGCAGCCCG
This is an RNA transcript of Malaya genurostris, 2196 nucleotides long. It is a transcript of the gene named zinc finger protein 664-like, with no coding region annotated. The transcript has 4 exons. The record is from RefSeq and is a predicted model, not a curated record. Lineage: Eukaryota; Metazoa; Arthropoda; Insecta; Diptera; Culicidae.